RNAcentral lists this non-coding RNA (30 nucleotides) under Rattus norvegicus (Norway rat). The record is from RNAcentral. Lineage: Eukaryota; Metazoa; Chordata; Mammalia; Rodentia; Muridae.
UAAGCAUACUUACACUUGCCCUUGGGGUCC